This 77-nucleotide transfer RNA is filed under the name Dehalococcoidia bacterium. Its description in RNAcentral is "tRNA-Val". It matches the Rfam family "tRNA". From Rfam's summary of the family: Transfer RNA (tRNA) molecules are approximately 80 nucleotides in length. Their secondary structure includes four short double-helical elements and three loops (D, anti-codon, and T loops). The record is from RNAcentral. Lineage: Bacteria; Bacillati; Chloroflexota; Dehalococcoidia.
GGGCGGUUAGCUCAGCUGGUACGAGCGCUUGCUUCACACGCAAGAGGUCACUGGUUCAAACCCAGUACCGCCCACCA